AUAAGAAUAGGGGAGUGGAGAAGACACAAUCAGGGGCGUUGAGUAAAAUUGAGGCCUCUUUGGUCCAGUCCAAUUACUGGGGUACAUCAGCAAAAUUGGAGGCUGCAUGUAGUAAUUGUUGGUCAAGGCCCAAAGACAGGGGUACAGCUGUAAUGUUGGAGGUGGCAUAUGGUAGUUGUUGGUCAGGCCCAAGGCCUCCUUUUUCUUUGCAGAAACAAUAUGGGCUUAAACCCAUAUGGAAGGAGGUGCGAAUGGAGGACAAGAGGUAGCGGGCAGUGAGAAUGUGGCCCAGAGUCAGGCCCAAAGCUUCCUUUCAUAUGCAGAUAGGGAAAUGGGUGUGAAUAGUAGAUGAGGGGUGCAGGGAAGAAACUCCAGCCAGAGCCAGACCCAAGGCCCCUUAAGUUCAGAAAUUCAUUAGGGGUUUCUCCCAUUUCCUCUCAUUCCUCACACUUCAUCAAAUCAGAGACUUGGUCUCUCUCGCGAAAGGCAAUCCCAGGGAGGGGUUUUCCGCCACUGCACGUCCACACCGCCACUCCCUCCGGUCAGCUACCGCACCGCCACCUACUCUAGUUUGAUCGUCGCCGUUGACGUCAGACCUUGCCGGAGUCAUCACGGGCCGUAGCAUUACCGCUUUUCCUCUCUCUUGCGGGGUGUGCCUCUCUCGAGUUCACGCACACCACCUCCCUGCCGUUCAAUCACGUACCUGGCCGGCCACCGUGCCCCACCAUAGCCAUCGCCACUCACGAAUCGCCGGCAGUUCCUCCCUGAAGAUACAACGCCCCCCUCUUCUCUUUUGGCAACAACUUAGGGUUGGGGCUUUCAACGCCGUUCCCGCGCAAGUCGCCGCCCCCGCGCAAGUCGCCGCCAAUCCAACCAAUGUCGUCGCUUCCCUUCACCGGUCAAGAGCGCCGUCGCAGACCACCAUGCUCAUCCUCUCUUGCGCACCUCGCUUCUCCAAAACAAGCAAUCAACAUGUGCUUUGUAUUGGAUUGUGUAUGGUGGUUGAAGGGUUGAUUUAUGAAGAGGAUGAAUGGUGUCUUAUGUGAUGAUGGGUGCGGUGGAUGCUGGGUUGGAAUUGAGUUCACUGUUUUUUUUUUUCAGGUAUUGAAGAUGAUGGAAGGGAGAAAGGAGAGAGAGAUGAUUCGGUUGAAGGAAAAUGGGUUCUGUUGUGCCAUUUUGUUUUCUUGUUUUUCUGAUGGAGAGAAAAUGAGUGUGUGAGGUUCUGUUUCUGUUUUUGGUUGUUUUUUUGAAUGUAUGCAGAUGAAGCGUUUGUGAUAUGGGUUAGUGAUGGAUUUGGAUGAGAAAAUUGGAGGAUCGAAGAAUCGGAGAUGAACCGAUAGGUAGGGGUGAGUGAAUAUAGGAAUUGAGGAUAUUGUGGGAGAUGAAUGAUGGAUGAUGAGGGAGACCCUUCUUUGUGCGAGUAAGUGGAGGAGUUCAGAGUUGUGUGAUCGUUACGGGUGUGGUCAUGGGGGAAUGUAGAUUGUGCCUGAUAAAAAUUAUGGUGGAGAUGAUCAUUCUCUGUACAAUGGUGUCAGGAUAAGGACUCGAAGAUGGACAACCAAAAGAGAUUUUCUGUUAUGCCCGUAGUGAGUGCCACCCUAGUGAGUGAGUGAUGGAAUGGAGGGUCAGAAAUGGUGAGGAAGCAUGGGUGAUUUUGGGUAGAAUUUGUGUGGGGGCUGAUGGAUUGGUGUUUGGAAGGAAGAUGGUUAUGGUAUGUUUUGUAGUGCUGGGUGUAGUGUGAUAUGCGUCUCUGCUCCUCCCUCACUUGUUCUCUGUUUUUUGUUCUGAAUGCUGGGAAAAAUAGUCUGAUAAGGAGGAUGGUAAUGAAGAUGAAGAUGGUGGAAUGGUAUGGUUACCGUGGGUAAGGAUAAGAAAGAUGUAUGGGUCAAUGAGUAAAUGAAGAUGAUCUUUCUUGUAUGAAUAUCUGAAUUAAAGAAUGAGACCCGUGGUCAAUAAUGGAUAUUGUUGGAGGUGAAGAGAAGAAUUGAUCAAUGGUCAGUGAUGGAAUAAAAUUUGGUUAGGGUCAUCAGGUUUUCUAACAGAAUGGUGGUGUUCGUAUGAUGCGUGAUGAAGUGUUAUAGGUAUCCAGGUGAUUGAGGUGGUUGAUGGUUCUAGUAAAAUGUUUCUGAGUGAGUGAAUGUGUGUGUAUGGUAGCAUGAGAGUGAUGUGCAUAAAAUUUGUUCGGGUGGUUAUGGAUCAGAGGAGCAGAGUGGUGGAAAAUGAUGUGUAUUCUGUUCUUCCCAUUUUUUACAACAAACUUUUUUCCUUUUUUUUU
Long non-coding RNA from Vigna radiata var. radiata (mung bean), 2275 nucleotides. RefSeq lists it as uncharacterized. NCBI's taxonomy places the organism in Eukaryota, Viridiplantae, Streptophyta, Magnoliopsida, Fabales, Fabaceae. The transcript is spliced from 2 exons. The record is from RefSeq and is a predicted model, not a curated record.